RNAcentral lists this long non-coding RNA (622 nucleotides) under Malus domestica (apple). RNAcentral's name for it is "long non-coding RNA (MDOM_LNC020185)". Lineage: Eukaryota; Viridiplantae; Streptophyta; Magnoliopsida; Rosales; Rosaceae. The record is from RNAcentral.
GAGCUUAACACAUGGGAUUUCUAAAUGACUAGCAUGCAUAUACAAUUCAAAAUUUAUAUACAUGAGCAACGGAAGCAAUUUAUCAAAUAAUAUCAAAGCAAUAGUCAUGCAAAUCCCCUUCAAGGUUCAUAGGUUUAUAUAUAAUGCAUCAAAACAUUUAACUUAAGAACAAAGUCAAGGAAUAGAUCUAUACCUCUUGAUCUUGAUUUUAGACCAAGGAUGGACCACCUCCAAGCCCUUUGCUCCUUGAAGUCCUUGAGCCUAGCCUCCCUCCUUGCCUCCUCCACUUUGUUAGUAAGAGUGCUCCAAGGUUCUCUCCAAGUUUCCAAAGUAGAAAACCUCUAAAGAUCCACACCCACUAGUGUAGUGAGAUGGAUGGAGGAAUAACCAAAAGGGUGAAAGAUGUGUUUAGUAAAAACACCCCCAAGGUGGCCGGCCUUUGUAGUGUUUUAGAGAGAUAUUUCUUUUGCCUCUUUGUUGUUUUAAACACACAAAAACCCUAAUGAACUUAGUGCUAUAAAGUUCCUUAUAUAGACAAAAGAAACCUAGUCAACAACUUGACUAAAUAUCUCUCCCAAACCCUUUAAGUGGCCGGCCCUAUAGUGUUUGGUUUGGGCUUUGG